Molecule: ribosomal RNA, 744 nt
Filed under: uncultured crenarchaeote
Lineage: Archaea; Thermoproteati; Thermoproteota
Description: bacterial SSU rRNA
Rfam family: Archaeal small subunit ribosomal RNA
Source: RNAcentral
UUACGGCUCAGUAACACGUGAUCAACUUACCCUAUGGAGAAGGAUAACCUCGGGAAACUGAGGAUAAUACUUCAUAAUUGAAAAUGCCUGGAAUGGUUUUUCAAUGAAAGAGCAAUCUAAAUGGUGAUUGUAUCACCAUAGGAUAGGAUCGCGCCCGAUUAUGGCUGUUGGUGAGGUAACGGCUCACCAAACCUAUUAUCGGUAAGGGCCGUGAGAGCGGGAGCCCUGAGAUGGGUACUGAGACAAUGACCCAGGUCUUACGAGACGCAGCAGGCGCGAAACCUUCACAAUGCACGAAAGUGUGAUGAGGUUACCCGGAGUGCUACAAAGUAGCUGUGGUAGGUGAUUAGGAUUCCCUACUAGAAAGGAGAGGGCAAGGCUGGUGCCAGCCGCCGCGGUAAAACCAGCUCUUCAAGUGGUCGGGACUUUUAUUGGGUUUAAAGUGUCCGUAGCCUGUUUAGUAAGUUCCUGGUUAAAUCGGAUAGCUUAACUAUCUGUCUGCUAGGAAUACUACUAUACUAGGGGGCGGGAGAGGUCUGAGGUACUCCGGGGGUAGCGGUGAAAUGCUCUAAUCCUCGGGGGACCACCAGUGGCGAAGGCGUCAGACUGGAACGCGCCCGACGGUGAGGGACGAAAGCCAGGGGAGCGAACCGGAUUAGAUACCCGGGUAGUCCUGGCUGUAAACGAUGCGUGCUAGGUGUUGGUAUGACUAUGAGCCGUAUCAGUGCCGUAGGGAAACCGUUA